GGGGGUAGAUCUAGGUGGGGGCCUUAGUUGAAAUUGGUUUGUUGGUGCAGAACCCAACAUUCUUUAGUUAGACGGAAAGACCCCGGGAGCUUUGAUUUAUUCUUUAUCUGGGGCGGAGGCAUACUUUUCGUGUGUUUUGAGAUCCUUGUGUGGAUAAGAGGGUUAAGUUACCCCGGGGAUAACUAGGUAAGAGACAAAGAGAGGCCAUAUCGAUUUGUCUGUUUGCCAUCUCGAUGUUGACUUGAGGGUAGCAGGAGGGUGUAGAGGCUUUCCUGUGUUGGUCUGUUCGACCUUGGUGCCUUUCAUGAGCUG
Molecule: ribosomal RNA, 312 nt
Filed under: Metagonimus miyatai
Lineage: Eukaryota; Metazoa; Platyhelminthes; Trematoda; Opisthorchiida; Heterophyidae
Description: partial large subunit ribosomal RNA
Rfam family: Bacterial large subunit ribosomal RNA
Source: RNAcentral